This 467-nucleotide ribosomal RNA is filed under the name uncultured bacterium. Its description in RNAcentral is "partial 16S ribosomal RNA". It matches the Rfam family "Bacterial small subunit ribosomal RNA", at positions 28 to 506 of the family's 1533-position model. The record is from RNAcentral.
GACGAACGCUGGCGGCGUGCUUAACACAUGCAAGUCGAACGGAAAGGCCCUGCUUUUGUGGGGUGCUCGAGUGGCGAACGGGUGAGUAACACGUGAGUAACCUGCCCUUGACUUUGGGAUAACUUCAGGAAACUGGGGCUAAUACCGGAUAGGAGCUCCUGCUGCAUGGUGGGGGUUGGAAAGUUUCGGCGGUUGGGGAUGGACUCGCGGCUUAUCAGCUUGUUGGUGGGGUAGUGGCUUACCAAGGCUUUGACGGGUAGCCGGCCUGAGAGGGUGACCGGCCAAAUGGGGACGGGGAGACGGCCCAGACCCAUACGGGAGGCAGGAGUGGGGAAUAGGGCACAAGGGGGGGAGUCCUGAUGCAGCAACCCCGGGGGGGGGAGGACGGCCGUCGGGUGGGAAACCGCUUUCGCCUGUGACCAAGGGUGAUGGACGGGAAGGGGGAAAGAAACACCGGCAAACUACUG